GAUGAACGCUGGCGGCGUGCCUAAUACAUGCAAGUCGAGCGAACAGACGAGGAGCUUGCUCCUCUGACGUUAGCGGCGGACGGGUGAGUAACGCGUGGAUAACCUACCUAUAAGACUGGGAUAACUUCGGGAAACCGGAGCUAAUACCGGAUAAUAUAUUGAACCGCAGGGUUCAAUGGUGAAAGACGGUUUUGCUGUCACUUAUAGAUGGAUUCGGCCCGGAUUAGCGAGUUGGUAAGGUAACGGCUAACCCAGGCAACGAUUCCUAACCGAGCGGAGAGGGGGGUCAGCCACACUGGAACUGAGACACGGUCCAGACUCCUACGGGAGGCAGCAGUAGGGAAUCUUCCGCAAUGGGCGAAAGCCUGACGGAGCAACGCCGCGUGAGUGAUGAAGGUCUUCGGAUCGUAAAACUCUGUUGUUAGGGAAGAACAAAUGUGUAAGUAACUAUGCACGUCUUGACGGUACCUAAUCAGAAAGCCCCGGCUAACUACGUG
Molecule: ribosomal RNA, 497 nt
Filed under: uncultured bacterium
Lineage: Bacteria
Description: partial 16S ribosomal RNA
Rfam family: Bacterial small subunit ribosomal RNA
Source: RNAcentral